RNAcentral lists this ribosomal RNA (461 nucleotides) under uncultured bacterium. Its description in RNAcentral is "partial 16S ribosomal RNA". It matches the Rfam family "Bacterial small subunit ribosomal RNA", at positions 338 to 795 of the family's 1533-position model. The record is from RNAcentral.
CCUACGGGAGGCAGCAGUGAGGAAUAUUGGUCAAUGGGCGCGAGUCUGAACCAGCCAAGUCGCGUGAGGGAGGACGGCCCUACGGGUUGUAAACCUCUUUUGCCGGGGAGCAAAGGGAGUCACGUGUGGCGCCACUGAGAGUACCCGGAGAAAAAGCAUCGGCUAACUCCGUGCCAGCAGCCGCGGUAAUACGGAGGAUGCGAGUGUUAUCCGGAUUUCUUGGGUUUAAAGGGUGCGUAGGACGGCUUUUAAGUCAGCGGUGAAAGUCCGCGGAUCAACCGUGGAAUUGCAGUUGAAACUGGAGGCCUUGAGGGCACACAGGGAUGCCGGAAUUCAUGGUGUAGCGGUGAAAUGCUUAGAUAUCAUGAAGAACUCCGAUCGCGAAGGCAAGUGUCCGGGGUGCAACUGACGCUGAGGCUCGAAAGUGCGGGUAUCAAACAGGAUUAGAUACCCGAGUAGUC